RNAcentral lists this non-coding RNA (147 nucleotides) under uncultured eukaryote. The record is from RNAcentral.
ACACAGCAUGAAAUAAAGAAAGAAAAGAAGAAAAAUGAUAUACUUUUAUGAAGAAAAGCACAAUUUACAAUAUCUCAUGGCUGGUUGGAAUGAUACUGAUAUUCUGUUGUUGUUGUUGUUGUUGUGUUCUGUUCCUCUCUCUCUCUC